Molecule: non-coding RNA, 595 nt
Organism: Biomphalaria pfeifferi
Lineage: Eukaryota; Metazoa; Mollusca; Gastropoda; Planorbidae
Source: the annotation of a GenBank genome assembly
AGAGAUUCUAGCCAAGGCAUAAGAUAGAGAGGAAUGGAGAAAGAUGGUCGACAGAUCAUGUGUGGUAUCCCAGUCUAGGGCACGUGUACUGCUUGGUCUCUUUAAUUAUUAAUUUCUGUACUGCUUCUCUUAGUUCAGCACAAAACCAAAACAUGAAAUGAAUAUGUUCAGAGGAAAUACAUUUCAUGUGUUCGUGUCUGUGUGUGUGUUUAUGCGCAUGUGUAUGAAGCUCCUAUACGAUCAAAUGUUUCAAUUCAAGUCACUAUGUUGUCACGUGUAUCUUGGGUCGUGUUUUUCUAUUAUCAAGUGCUAUAGCUUCAGAUUUGAGUAUAGGCCUAUGAGUUUCACUUGCGUGGCUAGUAUUUAGUAACCGUCACGCUCUAUUAGUUCACAUAGCACUUAACUCAAUGUUUCUCAUACUGUAUUUGGGGACCUCAAGAAUCGGCAUGACGAAAGGAUUUCCGUACAACAUGAAAACUGUAUACAAUUUAAAAUGAAUUCUUUUCUAGAAGCAAGUUUAUCCAAUAGGAUAAUUUCAGCAACAAUCGACUCGCCCCUCACUACUUGAUAUAUAUCUCUCUAUAUAUAUAUAUUA